UUAUGUAUAGAUGACUGUAAAGCUUCCCAUCAUAACUCCGCAGUUAAGCGUGCCUGGGCGAGAGUAGUACUAGGAUGGGUGACCUCCUGGGAAGUCCUCGUGUUGCACCCC
This 111-nucleotide ribosomal RNA is filed under the name Beta vulgaris subsp. vulgaris (sugar beet). Lineage: Eukaryota; Viridiplantae; Streptophyta; Magnoliopsida; Caryophyllales; Amaranthaceae. The record is from RNAcentral.